CCUACGGGAGGCAGCAGUGGGGAAUCUUGGACAAUGGGCGCAAGCCUGACGCAGCAACGCCGCGUGAAGGAAGAAGGCUUUCGGGUUGUAAACUUCUUUUAUUGAGGACGAAACAAAUGACGGUACUCAAUGAAUAAGCCACGGCUAACUACGUGCCAGCAGCCGCGGUAAUACGUAGGUGGCAAGCGUUCUCCGGAUUUACUGGGUGUAAAGGGCGUGUAGGCGGGACUGCAAGACAGAUGUGAAACCCAUGGCCUAAACCUAUGGCCUGCAGUUGAAAUUGUAGUUCUUGAGUGAUGGAGAGGUAGGCGGAAUUCCGUGUGUAGGGGUGAAAUGCGUAGAUAUACGGAGGAACACCAGUGGCGAAGGCGGCCUGCUGGACAUUAACUGACGCUGAGGCGCGAAAGCGUGGGGAGCAAACGGGAUUAGAUACCCGGGUAGUC
This 443-nucleotide ribosomal RNA is filed under the name uncultured bacterium. RNAcentral's name for it is "partial 16S ribosomal RNA". It matches the Rfam family "Bacterial small subunit ribosomal RNA", at positions 338 to 795 of the family's 1533-position model. The record is from RNAcentral.